UAUAAGGGAUUUUGAGUUUUUUUGCUUGCAACGUUUGACCACUCGUCUUAUUCAAAUUUUUUUUAAAUUAUUAUUUAUUUUAUUUGUGACUUACUUUAUUAUCUAUAGUAGUUUAAGCACAACUUUUCGUUUUUUAUAUUUGGGAAAAAAAUUGAAUAAGACGAAUGGUCAAACGUUGCAAGUAAAAACUCAAAAUCCCUUGUAUC
RNAcentral lists this microRNA precursor (206 nucleotides) under Oryza sativa Japonica Group (Japanese rice). Its description in RNAcentral is "MIR812 microRNA precursor family". It matches the Rfam family "MIR812 microRNA precursor family". The record is from Rfam by way of RNAcentral. Lineage: Eukaryota; Viridiplantae; Streptophyta; Magnoliopsida; Poales; Poaceae.